Molecule: transfer RNA, 87 nt
Filed under: Desulfuromonas carbonis
Lineage: Bacteria; Pseudomonadati; Thermodesulfobacteriota; Desulfuromonadia; Desulfuromonadales; Desulfuromonadaceae
Also listed under: 3 other names
Description: tRNA-Leu
Rfam family: tRNA
About the family: Transfer RNA (tRNA) molecules are approximately 80 nucleotides in length.
Source: RNAcentral
GGGGGUGUGGUGAAAUUGGUAGACGCACUGGACUCAAAAUCCAGCGGGCGCAAGUCCAUGUCGGUUCGACUCCGACCACCCCCACCA